This 482-nucleotide ribosomal RNA is filed under the name uncultured bacterium. RNAcentral describes it as "partial 16S ribosomal RNA". It matches the Rfam family "Bacterial small subunit ribosomal RNA", at positions 30 to 507 of the family's 1533-position model. The record is from RNAcentral.
AUUGAACGCUGGCUGCAUUCUUUACCCCUGACUGUCGAACGUUAACAGUCCUCAUGUUUCUUACGUGUAGCGGACGUUUGAGUAAUUCAUCCGAACUUGCCCCCUCCUGCGGGAUAACUACUCUAUAGAGUAGCUAAUCCCCCAUACGAUCUAUGUAUGAAAGCGAGGGUCCUUAACUCCUCGCGCGAUUUUGCCCGCCGAUGUCAGCUUAGGUAUUUUGUGGGGUAAAGGCUAACCAAGCCAACGAUCUGUAGCUGGUCUGAGAGGACGACCAGCCACACUGGGACGGAGACACGGCCCAGACGCCUACGGGAGGCAGCAGUGGGGAAUUUUGGACAAUGGGCGCUAGCCUGAGCCAGCAAUGCCGCGUGCAGGAAGAAGGCCUUCGGGUUGUAAACUGCUUUUGUACGGAACGAAACGGCGAUGGUUAAUACCCGGGGCUAAUGAAGGUACCGUAAGAAUAAGCACAGGAUAACUACGUG